RNAcentral lists this ribosomal RNA (400 nucleotides) under Variovorax sp. RNAcentral's name for it is "bacterial SSU rRNA". It matches the Rfam family "Bacterial small subunit ribosomal RNA", at positions 141 to 536 of the family's 1533-position model. Lineage: Bacteria; Pseudomonadati; Pseudomonadota; Betaproteobacteria; Burkholderiales; Comamonadaceae. The record is from RNAcentral.
CGAUAACGCAGCGAAAGCUGUGCUAAUACCGCAUACGAUCUACGGAUGAAAGCAUGGGAUCGCAAGACCUUGCGCGAAUGGAGCGGCCGAUGGCAGAUUACGUACUUGGUGAGGUAAAGGCUCAGCAUCCCUUCGAUCUGUACCUGGUCUGAGAGGACGACCAGCCACACUGGGACUGAGACACGGCCCAGACUCCUACGGGAGGCAGCAGUGGGGAAUUUUGGACUAUGGGCGAGAGCCUGAUCCUGCCAUGCCGCGUGCACGAUGAAGGCCUUCGGCUUGUAAACUGCUUUUGCAUUGAACGAAACGGACUUUUCUAAUAAAGAGGGCUAAUGACGGUACCGUAAUAAUAACCACCGGCUAACUACGUGCCAGCAGCCGCGGUAAUACGUAUGGUGCA